RNAcentral lists this ribosomal RNA (491 nucleotides) under uncultured bacterium. RNAcentral describes it as "bacterial SSU rRNA". It matches the Rfam family "Bacterial small subunit ribosomal RNA", at positions 29 to 514 of the family's 1533-position model. The record is from RNAcentral.
AUUAAACGCUGGCGGCAUGCCUUACACAUGCAAGUCGAACGGCAGCACGGGGGCAACCCUGGUGGCGAGUGGCGGACGGGUGAGUAAAGCAUCGGAACGUAUCCUGGAGUGGGGGAUAACGUAGCGAAAGUUACGCUAAUACCGCAUAUUCUGUGAGCAGGAAAGCAGGGGAUCGCAAGACCUUGCGCUCUGGGAGCGGCCGAUGUCGGAUUAGCUAGUUGGUGGGGUAAAGGCCUACCAAGGCGACGAUCCGUAGCGGGGUCUGAGAGGAUGAUCCGCCACACUGGGACUGAGACACGGCCCAGACUCCUACGGGAGGCAGCAGUGGGGAAUUUUGGACAAUGGGCGCAAGCCUGAUCCAGCCAUGCCGCGUGAGUGAAGAAGGCCUUCGGGUUGUAAAGCUCUUUCGGCGGGGAAGAAAUUGCACGGGUUAAUACCUGUGUAGAUGACGGUACCCGAAUAAGAAGCACCGGCUAACUACGUGCCAGCAG